This is a long non-coding RNA of Triticum aestivum (bread wheat), 6434 nucleotides long. RefSeq lists it as uncharacterized. The transcript has 3 exons. NCBI's taxonomy places the organism in Eukaryota, Viridiplantae, Streptophyta, Magnoliopsida, Poales, Poaceae. The record is from RefSeq and is a predicted model, not a curated record.
CUAUUCUUGACUGGACCAAAAUAUCGUCUAGAAAAAGACUGGACCAAAAUAUCGUCAAGAAGGCCUCUAGCACAGCUCUUCUCCCCUGCUUUUCAGUGGCAGCACCAUCGCAUGCGCUCGUCGCUGGCUCGGCUGCGUACCGCCGUCAACCAUAGCUUCAGCGGAUGGAAGAUGUAUGCCGCAGCGUCUCUCCCGAUCUCUUUUUCCGAAUGGAUUUGAGGGAGCCUUCAGCCCUUCACGGGUAAAAUCCCUAAUUUUUGUGCAUCUCACAUGAGGAACUUUUUCUUGGAUCUGCUACAAAAUAGAUUGAGAAUUGGGGACUAUUCAUCAGAGGGAUUAGAGUUGGUAUCGUGAUCUUCUGGAAGUAUGUGGUAUGAGAGAGAUGAUGUUAUAUUUAGUAGAGUUGAUAUCCAUUGCCAAAUGAAAAAGGUACGAUCUGUAUUUUUUGCUCUCAGAAAUUACUUCUAAGUUUAUAUAAAUAUUAAUGUAGAAAGAACUUAUGUGUACAAACAUGAUAGAGUUAGUUCACGGAUACAGAACUGAUGAACAGAAAUUUAUAUAUUUUAUUGAAAGAUUAAAGAUCCAUAUGUACACAUACAUUUAUUCGCUCGAGGAGGCUAAUGCCUAUGUUUUUAGAGAGACAAAUUGAGGAGAUUUGGGGAAUCGGAAACUAUUUGUGAGAGAGAUGUGAGUGUUAGAUUGUGAGAGAUUAGUAAUGGCUAUUUAGGGGAAUUAAUUGGUGAACUUUCUAUAGAACGUUUUUAAAAGAUUUGGAUUUUGAGAUUAACCGUGAAUAUAUUUUAGUUGUGGGUCGUGGCUAUAAUGUGGGAGAUUGCGAAAAGCUUAUUGUAGGUGGAAUCCAUUGGUGAUUUCAUUGUUUCAUCUGUUGCGAUAUUUUUUGUGUUAAAAAUAUUCAAGGAUAAAUAACUAAUUUUAAAUUUAAUAUUUUACAGAAAGAUCAAACAUAUAUAUCUAUGGAUUAAUAAUUAUUUAAAAAUUUAACAUGCCAACCAAGUAAAUGUGUUGUUCAAAAUGUAUGGUAAGGUUGUCUGUGACUCUAUGUAAUUAUACAUGAAUUGUCUAAUGACUUGAGGAACUGCACUAUCAAUUAAAAAAUCUCUUUGUAAACAAUAUUCUUUGCGACAUCUUCGGUUGGACACUCUUCGUCAUCGAUCAGCACCUUCAAUCCUUCCUUGUUUGUCACUCUUGAUAGUGCCACAUAUAGUUGUCCAUGGCAGAACACUUGCUUAGGCAAAUAUAUGCCUACCUUGUUUAAGGACUGACCUUGGCUCUUGUUUAUUGUCAUUGCGAAGCACACUAAUAAUGGAUAUUGCCUUCUUUUUAGCACAAAUGGCCAUUUUGAGUCGCUUGGUGACAUGAUGAUUCGAGGAGCAUGACCGGCAAACCUACCUUCAGUUUUAACUUAUGGUCUGGUAUUCCUGGGGACGUUAAGGUGUUGAGGAGCUCAGUAGGUUGCAUGUUCAUCAUGAUGUUGGUAUUUGUCGUUGCCUUGCACACUGUGCCCAGGCUUAGGUAUGUCACCUCUUCACCUUGUAUUUGGCUCAUUAUGUGGUCAUUUAUCUCCUUGACUGUAUCAUUUCUUGGACAUAGUAUUGCUCUUUCUUCUAGGUAAUCCCGCUCACGGUAUUUUUGCAGCAAAUUUGGGUAUAUGCUUUUGACGAUUUGUUCUUUACGAUUUUCUCCUUUCUCUAGCAGUAGGUCUUUUGGUAUUUUUAUCCAAUCCUCUCCUUCAUCUGAUGUUGUUUUGCCAUCGCCAAUCUGUAGUAUCCACUCUACAAAUUCAGCGACCUUUUGCUUUUGUAUUGGAUCAUCUGACAAACACUUCAGCCGCAUGUUUUGUGUUAACUCAAAUAUUUCAAAGUGUUUCCAUAGAUAUGACCUUUUGAUUGAAGCAUUUACUAUCUGCUCUCUCCUUCCUUUGGUUAUAACUGGCAGGAUUUGUCUGAAGUCGCCUCCUAGUAUAACUGUCAUUCCACCAAAUGGCUUUUCAUCGCUGUUUUCAUUAGUGAACCUUAGAAUAUCUCUCAGGCUUUUGUCUAGUGCCUCGAAGCAGUGUUUGUUUGCCAUAGGAGUCUCGUCCCACAAUAUAAGUGAGGUCUUCUUUAGCAGUUCAGCCAAAUGCGAGCCUUGUUUUAUUUCACACGUUGAUUCUUCAGUGAUAUUAAGUGGAAUACGGAACCUUGAGUGUGUUGUUCUUCCACCUUGGAGAAGCAACGCUGCAAUGCCACAUGAUGCUACCACAAGCACUACCUUCCCCUCUGAUCUUAGCUUUGUCGUUAUUGCUUUCCAUAGAUAGGUUUUUCCUGUGCCACCGUAGCCUUCGACAAAUAUCUGCUUUCCUAGGCCUUUGUCGACUGACUCCAUUAUUGCAUCAUAGGCCUUUUUCUGGUCUUGGUUAAGAUUGUUUAGUAUGAUUUUGUGCUCAUCCUUGAGUUUGUCCAUGUCGUAGUUGACCUCUUCGUUUAUUAGUCUGUUCCCAAGUUCUUCUAGCUCUGCGGCAUUUGGUAGUUCUAUGUCUAGAUAGUCCUUUAGUGACUUUCCUACUUGCCUCAUCAGUUUUUCUAUCUCAAUCAGACCAUACGCUUUCUUCUGUGUGUUUGUAAGCCAAAGUGUUGGAAAGUUUAGAAUAGUCCUUUUGUAUUGCAUAUCUUCACACAAUGCUUCCCAUGUUGAAUCCCACAAUACCUUUGGGUUUGUGACUUUGCAAUGGGACAAUAUGGUGGUGAAUAACUGACGCAGUUGUGUUCCGGAAGCCCAACUUGAUGCUUCAUUGAUACAGUCAAUCCACUCAGUGUCAUCAUCGAGAAAUCCGAGGGCUUGGCAUGCUGAUUUGUAUGUUGGGUGAAUGACUCCAUCAACGGUCCUAAUGUCCUCAAAUGAUGCGCAUCCUUUCUUGGUGUUUAGAAGCAUCCUCAUAUGAUAUCUCUCGCCACUUGCGCGACGUGCAUAGUCGAUUCUUCCAAUUGCGUAGUCCCUUUUUCGCUUCUGCCAACAUUUUGUUUCGCUUUUCCAUACAAACUUUGUAGGGAAUUCUGCAUAAGUCAAUCCUUUUCCUAGAUCAUUUAUUUUAUUUGCCUCCAUCCACUGAGUGAACUUGGUGAUUUUAGAUUCGUCCCUUAUUACUAUCUUUUCAAGAUCAGUGGAGUCUGGAAAAACGACUUGUUGCUCAUUUUCAAGAUGGAAAGGUAGCCUCUCAACUGCUGGAUCGCGAUACUGAAGAUCAAACUGAAAUAUCCUCCAGCAUGCUUCUGAUGUUGAUAUGUAUCUCAUCUCUAGGUAUUUCUUGAUCUCGUCAGUUUCGUUUGCCGUGCCACUUUCCUUCUGCAAGGCUGUAACAUGGUCGUCAUCUUUAUGGAUAUACUUAAAUAGGUACUUGAUUGAUCUGGACCUAUUGCACCACUCAACAUUUAUGUGAGCUUGAUACUUGACCAGAAGGUUCCGGUUGUAUGGCACGACAAAUCUGUUGCCCAGCAUCACCCCUCCCUUUUUGAUCUGCCUUCCGUCAUCCCUCCUUUUAUAUGCUGGAAAUCCGUCCUCGUCAAUGGUAGUGCUGACAUUGUAUCUUUUUGGGAAAUGCUUGGUGCAUCUAUGGUCCACCAUGCAUGGUGAGUUUUUCUUAGCCUCUCUGCACGGGCCAUGCAUGAUGAAGUUCUCAACAGCUUCAAAUGCCUCUGGAUCCUCAUCCUUGUUUGGGAUCUCAAUGCUUAUUAUUUUGUCGAUUUGCGAUGGUUCCGGGUACUUGUCUUUGUCCUUCAAAAAUAUUAGUAUGUGCGCAUGCGGGAGUCCUCUCUUCUGGAAUUCUAUUGUGUAGAUGACUGCAGUUGAUUAAUAGUUUGUCAGAUUUAGCUUAAAUUGGAAUGCAUGUUACUAAAGAGCUAGAAUCUGACGGAGUAUAAGAUGAUGCAUGUUUCUAAAGAGCAACAGUCUGACGGACUAUAAGAUGAUGCAAGAAAGAGUAAAGAUUGAUAGUCAAUGGGACUUACUUGCAACUAUUUCUCCAAAGUAUUUCUUUUCUUUUAUGUCUCUCAUUAGCUCCUUUAGUUUGAUCAUAAAUACUUUGUCCACAAUGUCUGGCCAAUCGGCUGGCUUUUGGCCACCUCCCGCUUCAUCUAGCAUGUAUUGGAUCUCAGGCCACUUUGCAUUGCAUGUGAAUGUUAUAAAUAGGUCUGGGUAUCCAGCCCAACGGCAUAUUGCAAAGGCAUCUUGCAAAUAUUGUGCCUUGUUUCUUCUACCACCUAUAAAAGAUGAAGGCACAAUUAUCCUCUUUCCAACUUGCUCUGUUCUUGUGUCCCCUCGCUCAAUCGCAUCCUGCAAUCCACUGUAAAGUUCAGUUCGUAGCUUUCCUUGAUUGUGUCGGAUCCAGUUUAGUCUAUUUUGCUCGAUACAUGUGUAUACAUCCACCCAAAAUUGCAGUGAAAAAUGCCCGGACUUGAGUAGUAACAUUCCUUGAUCAGGACGUUGCUGUAGGUAGAAUGCAUAGUAGUCCAACAGCGUUACAUAUUUCCUGCUGUUUGUAUCUCCUUUUGUUUUCUUGUAGGGUAUCUCAAGUUUAAAACCAUCUUCUCCAUAUGGGAACAACAACGGAUAUUGCAUGGACAUGAAUUUUGGGUGGAUCUCUGAUAUCCUUUGAGGCUCCAUAUUUUUGUACUCAACAACAAUGUCACGUCCUUCACUCUCUCCGGUUGGAUCUCUUACUACCAAUGCUGCAACUUCAGAUGCGGAUGGAAGGUUGUGUGUUCCCUUCCUUUUGCCUAGUAUCCGAAGUGUGUAAUCAUGGUAGUCUCCUUCUUGGAAUCUAUCUCUUGCCAUUCUGAAUGUUUUUGCGAGGAUGUUGUUGUCAUCGAGCAUUAUUUUCAGUUCUUUGACGAUGUUGGGGUCCACUGUUGAUUUUUUAUCAUUGCAUCUUGACGCACUUAUCCUGUUUUCCACCUCAUUUUCAGUAUUAUAGAUGUAUAGUUGUGCAAACCGAGGUUUGUCUGUACCUUGAGGCAAAGGAGUUCCGAUAUGGUGGUAGUUUUGUCCAUGCAAACAAAAAACAUAAGGUCCUUUGCGAGUGUUUAUUUCCUUGUCCACAGCUCCUCCCAUCGAUGUGAAUGAAAACAUUGAGUUGUAUGACCUUAUAUUUUCUUUGAAGUUUACUGAAUCCUGCCCUUCACUUCUUAAGAGGUUUCUAAGGUAUGGUGGAGGUUCUCUUAGUGGCGGCAGAUCGAUUUUCCCUUGUUUGCAGCAUAUUCCAAAAGAGGGUGAUGUAGUUCCUUUAUUUGAAUUUAAUCUUUCUUCACACCAUAGCAAUGCUUUGCAAUAUUGGCAUUUGUAUGUUGGCCUUCCGAAGUUCCAUGGCUUGCUAUUAGCACUUGUCGAGGUUCUGGUUCUGUUGUUGUCUCCAACAUUGACUCUAGUGUUGUUUUUGUUGGUUUCGCUUCUGGCGCGCUUCAGUUCCCUAUCUUCUUCAGCAUUAGCCUUUCUCAAUCGUUUAGGAGCCUCUAUGUUCGCAUUUCUUCUUCCCUCUGCAGUCCUUGUCCGCUUUGUACUCCUUGAGUUUAGAGGUUGUUCUUUCUUUCUUUUUGUCUGGUGAGCUGCUGGGUCUAACAUAUGUUGGACUCUCAUAUCUGCAAAUGUGAUUUCGUCAGUGCGUAUAGUUUCCUUAACAUAGUAUCAUGUAAUAUGAUUUAUUUUGUAAUCCCUCCGUAAAGAAAUAUAAGAGCGUUUAGAUUACUAAAGUAGUGAUCUAAACACUCUUAUAUCUCUACAGAGAGAGUACUUAAUAGUGUUUUGCUUUUGCAGGCAUGCAAGUGCAUUUGGUGAUGACUACUAAUGGACGUUGUCACAUACAGUACAUCUGGAGAUUAAUGUUGUUUAUCUGGUAGGGAACUAAAAAUCAAUAAUUGUUCAACCAUGUUGCUCUUUUUGUAGCUUUCACAUUAUUAUCAUGGUAGUGUUAGGAUGCAUGAAAAAAAAGAGCUUUAUAGUUCAGUAUGAGAAGAGUUUUGACGCAAUGUUGAGCUGAGAUCAAAAUGCAGGCACACACAUGAAGAAUUGCAUCGGGAUAUUACCUGAGGCUGAUGGUGCUGAUGUUGUGUCUUCAGUUCGUUGGAUGUUUCUUUGUGCCUAUGAUCGUUUGGGUGUCGCCGGCGUAUAUUGGAUGCAACUUGCUGGAGUUGUUGCCAUACCUUCAAUUUGUCGGCCGUCUCGUGUGUGUUUGAUCUUCCCGACAUCAUGAAAAUGUAGCUAUUGAGAAAGUGCAUCAUGGGUCAUUUAUGAAUGUAUGUCUUGUAAAAUUAUGGUUUAAUGAUGUUUAUGUGAUAUAAGCAGAGGGAUGAGUGUAUGUGACCAUACCUCUUGUUUGUUUUCUGAGACUAUGAUCUAGCAAUUUGACUAAUGUAGAUCACCUGAGGAGAAAGUUUUUGUGAGAA